CAGAAACGGAGGCGAAGGCGCUGCUGAAGGAACGGCAGAAGAAGGACAACCACAACCUGAUCGAGCGGCGCCGGCGCUUCAACAUCAACGACCGGAUCAAGGAACUGGGGACCCUCAUCCCGAAAUCCAACGACCCGGAGAUGCGGUGGAACAAGGGCACGAUCCUGAAGGCGUCGGUGGAUUACAUCCGCAAGCUGCAGAAGGAGACCCAGCGCUCCCGGGAGCUGGAGCUGCACCAGCAGCGCCUGGAGCAGGCCAACCGCAGCCUCCAGCUGCGCGUCCAGGUCUGGGGGAGGGGAA
This is a long non-coding RNA of Empidonax traillii (willow flycatcher), 300 nucleotides long. RefSeq lists it as uncharacterized. The record is from RefSeq and is a predicted model, not a curated record. NCBI's taxonomy places the organism in Eukaryota, Metazoa, Chordata, Aves, Passeriformes, Tyrannidae. The transcript is spliced from 3 exons.